This is a long non-coding RNA of Chiroxiphia lanceolata (lance-tailed manakin), 334 nucleotides long. RefSeq lists it as uncharacterized. Lineage: Eukaryota; Metazoa; Chordata; Aves; Passeriformes; Pipridae. The transcript has 3 exons. The record is from RefSeq and is a predicted model, not a curated record.
AGGGCAAACUGCCAAAUUGCUGCUUAGGAAACGAAGUACCCCGGGCUCGACACCGCUGUAAGGACGUAACCUUGAGAAGGGACAGCAUUCAAUAACCCUGGCUUCAGAUGCCUUCUUGAAUGUCUCAUUCUCCUGAACAAGGGCAGUGGUGACAGAUCUCAUCUCUGGUGGCGAGAGAGGAAGCAAGGAGAGAUCUCCUUCUGAUGGCUCUUACAUGGGAACCCUAAAGGAGAAGAGUAUUCUGGUUCAGAUAAGAAGCAAGUUUUGAAAUACCAGCGUGUUCUGCAAGCUUAAAAUUCUGGAGUGUGACUCAAGUCAGUGGUGAUCCAGAACA